This 880-nucleotide ribosomal RNA is filed under the name uncultured organism. RNAcentral's name for it is "bacterial SSU rRNA". It matches the Rfam family "Bacterial small subunit ribosomal RNA", at positions 11 to 859 of the family's 1533-position model. The record is from RNAcentral.
GUUGAUCCUGGCUCAGACAUGAACGCUGGCGGCGUGCCUAAUACAUGCAAGUCGAACGAGAAAUCACACCUUCGGGAGUGAGAGUAAAGUGGCGCACGGGUGAGUAACGCGUGGGUAACCUACCCUUUGGUUCGGAAUAACUGCCUGAAAGGGCAGCUAAUUAUCGAACAAGACCACGACGGCUUCGGCGGUUGGGGUAAAAGAUGGCCUCUACUUGUAAGCUAUCGCCAGAGGAUGGGCCCGCGUGCUAUUAGCUAGUUGGUGAGGUAACGGCUCACCAAGGCAGCGAUAGCUAGCUGGUCUGAGAGGAUGAUCAGCCACACUGGAACUGAAACACGGUCCAGACUCCUACGGGAGGCAGCAGUAAGGAAUUUUGCGCAAUGGGGGAAACCCUGACGCAGCAACGCCGCGUGAGUGAAGAAGGCCCUCGGGUCGUAAAGCUCUGUCAAGUGGGAAGAACCCUUUCAUGGAUAAUAACCAUGAGAGCUGACGGUACCACUGGAGGAAGCACCGGCUAACUCCGUGCCAGCAGCCGCGGUAAUACGGAGGGUGCCAGCGUUAUUCGGAAUCAUUGGGUGUAAAGCGCGUGUAGGCGGCUAAGCAAGUCAGAUGUGAAAGCUUCGGGCUUAACCCGGAAAGUGCAUUUGAAACUGUUUGGCUUGAGUCCUGGAGAGGGAAGUGGAAUUCCCAGUGUAGAGGUGAAAUUCGUAGAUAUUGGGAGGAACACCGGUGGCGAAGGCGACUUCCUGGACGGUGACUGACGCUGAGACGCGAAAGCGUGGGGAGCAAACAGGAUUAGAUACCCUGGUAGUCCACGCCGUAAACGAUGGGCACUAGGUGUAGGGGGUAUUGACCCCCCCCCUGUGCCGUAGCUAACGCA